Molecule: long non-coding RNA, 10312 nt
Organism: Passer domesticus (house sparrow)
Lineage: Eukaryota; Metazoa; Chordata; Aves; Passeriformes; Passeridae
Exons: 6
Source: RefSeq, a predicted model, not a curated record
GCUCCCAGGAAACACAGCUCUGAAAACAGGCUGCCUUUACAGAUGGCUUGGGAAUUUGUUGAAAAUUCAUUUUAAUUUGAAAGUUCUGGUGUGUGAGAAGAGCUCACUUUCUGCAUACUUCUGCUGAAUAACAAAUCCCAGAAAAUCACCUGCUUUUCCUGUCAAAACUAUCAAACCAGGAGCCACCACCAUCUAGAAGCUCACUUGGAAAUAGCUCCAGAGCCAGGAUUUGCACUUUCUUCUUCUGGGGAGCCUCUAUUUCACCUCUGAGAGCAGUCAGAGGAGGGUGAAGGGCAUCAGGGAGCAAGAAGGGUGUCACUGCAGGGGUGAAGGGAGGUGACAUGCACAAGUAAUCAGAUGGUAUUGCAGCCACGGUCCUUGGUUGGGGGACACAGAGAGAAGAGAUGGACUUGAGAGAGACCCUCUAGCCUGCUUUAAACUGAAAGAGGAACAAGGUGCUUCUCCUAUAACUUCUGCAGAUGCGGUGCCAUGGUUUCAGAUAAAUCUGCACACUUUUAAUUUUCAAGUGGAUUCACAGAAAUACAAGACUUCAAAGGACGUCUUCCACAAACCAUGUCCAGAGUGCCUGCUAUAUGAAAAAGAAGGGAGAUCCUUGGAAACCAUAUGCAGAAGGCCUGAACCAAGCUAAAAGUGCAGAGAAAGACCAGACAGCCUAGGAGCAGCUCCGAUCUCCUUUCUCUGUGCCAAGCACACUCUAGGACAGGUUGAUGCCAGCUGCACGUCUAAGCUAUAGCCAUCACUCUAUUGUAUUUCCAACGAGGAGCAAACACAUGGAGAGAUGGAAAUCGGGUGAGUAGAGAAGAGUCUGAUGUGGCAGAGGACAUUCAGGGACCUACUUAUUUCCAGUCCCAGCAUUCCAUGAAGAAGCUCUGCUGCCCAGUGGCGGAUUCCUAUCCCUUAACUUCUAUGAUCCAAGUCCGCUCCACAACCAGCUUUUUCAUAAUUCCUGUUAAUCCAGCAUAUUUUGGGGAGUUUUAAGGCACAGUUUUUGCUUGUUUGCUUUGGGCUUGGAGCACAUGCAGUUUACUCAUGUGCUCUGGCAAGAGCCCGGAGUUGCGCGUGAUCCCGAGCUAAGCAAAGCACGGCUGUGUCUGCAGUGCCUGUCCUGGGGACAAGAGCAAGUGCAAGGAGCCUCUCUGGCAGGAAUGCAUGAGCCUGAUAUGUGAUAGCCUUCAACAACUGUGAAAGAAGGAUUGAUGGACUUGCCAUAAUUCACAGAAUGGGGGAGCUUGGGCAGGAGGAGGACUUGUGCUUCUAGGAACAGGCAAGCAAAGUGCUCCAUCACGGGCAAGGCAAGCCAGCCACACCAGGCACUCCUGCCCUGCCACAGGCACGAGCCCCCAGCGCUCAUCAGAGUAACAGGCAAAAGUUGCCUCACUUCCAGCUUCACUGCUAUACUGGUCCUUACAAAAUUAGCCAAUGUGCUUGCCCCUGAAAUUGAAGAGAGGCAGAGGGUUUUACAAGUCCUUUCCUCCACUCCUACACCAUAACUGACAGCAAAUAGUGUGAACACCUCUUACACAUGAGACUUUUAAAGCCCCAUAGCUACUCUAGCUCCCUACCCUAUUGUUCCAGUGCCUUUGCAGAUUUUAUAUGAAACCCCAGAAAACAGAUAGAAAAAUCCUUUCUUCCCCUUUUACUAAUCCAAGUUGCUAACUUAAAAAAAAAAAAAAAAAGAAAAGCUUAUUUCAUAGAAGCUAGAAAUACUAGCAGGUUUUCAGUUGAUAAUGAAUAUCCUUUAAAGAACAAAGGAAGCCGAAUAAUGGAGCCUGGAGCCUGUCACAUGUAAUUCUUGUUAGUAAUAAUUUCUGUUAGCUGUUCAGGAAAGUGCAGUUCUCAAUUUCAGAGGAUAAAUGACUUAACCAGACUUUUUAUGAGGACACGAUAUCUAGCAACUCUGACUGCAAAACAAUGUAAGUUUCUAGAGGCAAAGCAUUGGCUGCUGCUUGUUGUCGAUCAGUAACAAUUCAGGAGCUUUUAUAAAAUGCAGAUGUGAUCUCAGUUCUUUCUCUAGGAAACAAAAACAAUGGAGUUUCAGCCUGGCCUGAUUAGCAAAUAAUGAGUGCUGCCAUCCUAUCAACAUAAGUUUGCCUUCUCUAGUGAAGCUCUUAAAUCACACAAAAACACCUUCAGAAGCAACUAAGGGUAUCAGAGGAAAUUUCUAGACCUGCUGGAAUCAAGACUGGGGCAGAUCCAUCUUAGUGGCUUUCCCCAGACUGUCAGAAAGGCAAAGACAGGCUGCAACCAGGCCUGAAUGGACCCAUUCUCCUCAGCCAGCUCUGAAGACUUGAGGCAAAGCUCAUCUCAGUCUGUACAGCAAACUCUGUGAUGGUAGUGGGGCUUCAGUGGACAAAACUGGCAUGAAACUGAUGCAGUUUUCUUGACAGGCUUGAUGGGUUUCAUUCUGCCUCUCUCCCUGCAAGUGGAGACCCCAGAAUAACCACAAGGAAUGUAAGCCUUUUUGUUUGAAUUUUUUUAUGUGAAUACCAAGAAUAUGUGAAGCAUUCAUGGCUUAGACAAUCCUGUGUGACAGACAUGCAGAAGUCAGCUGCUGGUUUCUCAAUACAGUGCACUGAUUUUUGCAGUAAUAUAUCACCUCCCCUCCGACAAUGAUUGGGGCCUUGGUGUCAGGUAAAACAAAAAGAGACAAAACUGUGUUGCCUUUAUCAGAAUGCUCAUGUGCUGUGACUAAGGAGAAUGUAUAUAACUACAGGCAGCUGUGCAAGACAACCCAGUAAAUAAAUACUGAAGGGAGAUUAAAGGAGGAUCAUUAAUAUCAUCCUAUUUUCUUUUAGAAUUUACAAAAUAGUAAAAAUUAUAUGGUUGGUGCUAAGCUUGCUCUGAGGGAAGGUACUCACACAAAGACAACUCUCUGGCAAAAUUAUCUUUGAGGCUGUGCAGGUAGAGAAACUCAGGUGCAGCUCCCAAAGAGCUGCUCCUCCCUAAUGAGGAUCAUUGCAACAGGCAAUGGUAUGUGGUAAUGUAUUGCUAAACUGCCUCCUUUUAUUUUCCUCUCUAGGAAAUGCAUAGUUUUCUCAAUAUAAAGGAACUAACUAUUUAUUUUUCAGGUUUUUUAACCAAAUACAGUGUAUACAUAGACCCCUGGAAUGUGCUCUGGAGUUGCUGCUGCUGCAAUCACAGCAGGGAAGGAUUUUGCUGUUCCUGUUGUCAAGUUUGUCUUGUGGCACAUUAUUAGAUAAAGCUGUUUCUUGUUCUUGGAUAUUUUUUUAAUGCACUGGGAAACUUCUGCUCUAGCACCUUUGCCAGUUUUCUUUUUGGAAAUCCAGAUUAAUUUAUUUGAAUGUUUCUUUGCUAUUUCUCAAGAAUUCUUUAUAUUCUUUGUGUCUUUCUCUCUUUCCUGUCAUGAAGUCUUUUCUCCUCAAACCAGUGACCAGCAGAAAGACUAAGAACCUCUUGCCCUUAACCAUCUAAUCCAUUUAGACCAGACUUUUCUCUGCCUGCCUGUCUUGUGAGUUCAAGGCCAGUCAUAACCUUGAUUUCAGAACAAUCCUCAGUGAUGAAAUGGUUCUGGUGCUGAGCAGGGAGCUCAGGCAGAGCUCAGACACCCUACCCUUUCUUCAGACAAGCUUUCAUGCUCCUGCACUUGGAGAUGGAUAAAAUUCCCAGUGUGAAGUACUGAAGUGGUUUCCUUUUCCACGAAUUCACAAUGAAAUGUGGUUGGGUUUGUUUCAGUUUGGUUUUUUAAGUUCCUGUUUUCUCACCUCCCAGAUGUUUCCAAUUGAUUAUCUUCUCAUGUCUUUAAAUUUAACUUGUUUCUAUUUAAUUCUUUACAUAUUCUUUGUUAUUUAACACUUUUGCUAAGACAUGUACUACAUGUACUGAAAUCCAAGAGGAGCAGUUCUGUGGAUGGAGGUAGUAUUUUUCCCCAGUGAAAUUCUCCCUGUCCCUGGUAUACAGGUGUAAGUAGUUUAAUUGCCUUUUCUGUUUGGUUGCUUGGUUGGAGUUUUUUUGUUUGUUUUGCUUUGUUGGAAGGAGGAAGAGGGAGCAGGUAAGGUAGUUGUAAAGCCACAAGAUUUAAUUUUACCUUUUGCUGUUUUGUGACUGUUCCAAGGCUUGUGAGGUACUGAAGGUCUAAAAAAAAAAAAAUUACCAAAAGCCUUUUUAUUCAUAUCAGUGUGUUCUACAAGAGCUGUCUUUCCAUUGUGACAUCCCCUCUUCUGGCCUUGCCUCACUCAUCUACACAACCUGUCACUACCGUGGGCAGUGCUGAAAACUGCAAAUCCCUGGAGGAGAGGGAAUCCCUCUUAUUUGGAAGAAGACUUCUAUUGUCUGGUCUUGCAGUGAGUUUGGAAGUCUCUUGUUGCUUUUGUGAAGGACUUUGCCAUUCGCUGCUUUGUGACACAUCAGUCUGGAUUUCUCAACUCUUUCGCAGUGCAUUGCUGCUUUCCCAGCUGUCCUGACCGACAGAUUAGAUUUGCACUUGCAGUGUCUGAGCGAGCAAGGUGAUCUUUGUAUGCAUGAUGGAAAUCCUUUCUCCUUUCUUGUGACACGUCCGCACAGAGCGUGUGCUUCACGUGGGCAUGUUCAUGCGCAGGCAGCGUGUGUCAUGACUGUGUCUGCAGGUGAUGCUCCUCGGGACACCUGUCCCUGGGCUGCGCUCUCCGUGCUGCUGCAUUCCUGGCUGCUGCUGCUGCUGCUGCUGCCAUCCCUUCUCCAGUGGAGCAACAGUGCCAACUGCUGGCUGAUGCGCCUGGCUUGCCAUCCCUAAGCUUCAUUCUGAGGCCAGUGCUGCCUAAAACACAUCAGUAUCCCCUCUGCUGACCGUCUGGCUGCUUCCAAUAAUAUCUCCGUUUGUUAGUCCUUUUUUCCAUACCAAAAUAAUAUUCUGUUGAGCUCAGGUAAGCCUCAGGUUACCUUUGCUGGUGACAUUUCUAAUUGUUUCAUGUUGGUUUAAAGCUGCAUGUCUCUCCUGAUCUCCCAGGGCUGGCUGCUCGAAAGGGGAGGAGGUUUCUGCUCUGAGCAGUGGAGUGCCAUGAAGUGCUGCCUGAAAGUUCUUUAAUCAUUCAGUCGUGGCAGCAAUUCGCCGGCUAUGUAUUUGGGACACUCUUAUUGUUAUAGCCACAAUGGGUGGGGAAAACAAGAUGGUGAUUUAUGUAUUUCUGCACAGAGUACGCGCUGCACUUUUACUCAGUAAAGAAAAAAAACGUGGAGAGUAAGAAAAGGAGAUAAUCUACUGCUGUACAUAUACUACUGUACAUAGUUUUAUUCAAAUUUCAGUGAAAUGUUUUAAUAGAAAAAAUAGUUUGUGUAUUAUUUUUCUUUUCCCAAGAGGAAUAGCAAAUGGAAAAGACAAGUUUGAUUCUUUAAAUGUUUCCUGUGAGAAGGGGGUUACAAUGUUUGCCGGAGGUGAUGGUAGAGGGAAACAUAUAUGGGGAGCAGGAAACUGGAAAAGAAAAAAGUGUAAAAGGAAACAAUUAAGAGAGCUUUUCAGAAGAAGGAGAAAGACAAUUAACAGAUAAAGCAAAAAACCUGGCAGAGAUGAUCAGGGGAAUUUUGCAGAGGAAAAAAAAAAAAUAAAGCAAGGGAUAGGAGGCAGCCAAACAAACUAAAAGUGAGUUUGAUGAGUCAGGGUUUCUGUGGGUUUUUUGCAUCUCCCAAAAGGCCAUUUUUUCCUUCCUCUCAGCCACACAUGUUCUUAAUUAUUUUUUUUUUUGAGCAGAACACCAAAAGAAAACUAAUAAAUCAACUAUUUUUAAACAUAUGUGACAAGUCCAGGCUGAGGCACAGGUGGACCACAACCACAGGAGGUCUUUUAAAUCAAAGUUGCAGAACUUUGGAUAGCCAGCAGGUUUAGCACUGCUUCCAGCCCUCUGUUACUAUUCCAGUCAUGUAGUGUUUGGGGUUUGGAUAGGGAAAUCUAUACCAGGCAAAAUGAAUAAAUGAAUAAAUAAAUAAAUAAAUAAAUGAUAAUAGAUUUGAUGCUGCCUUGAUAAACAGGACCAUCACAACUCCUCCUGUGCAACUGAAACCUCAGUAAAGAAUUUCUUCUUAUCUAAUCUAAACCCACAUCUUUCAGUAUGUACUGGUCUGUUCCAAUGACAACGUCUUGACUUUUUAUUACUAAUGUAAAUACUUAAGCUGGAUGUAAUGCCAUUAUUUACUAUUUUUUUUAAUUAAACAAAAUAUUUUUUUUCCCAGGAGAUGUGGUUGCAAUUUUCAAGUCUUGCUCUAACCAUGCCCUUAUUUGUUUUACUUUCACACAGACAGGUAUUCUUCUGAAGCAGUUUAUUUCUCUGAAUAAAGGGAGCAGGCUCCAUGCUUUCUUAUCCACGGCAGACCUUUGCCACUGAGAUAACCAGCCUCUUACUAAAAAUAAAUUGUUAUAUGUAUAAUAUAUGAUUAUGUUAUUAGGGAAAAUUAAUGUGAGCAGGGCUGAAAAAGCUGGGCAGACCUGAUAGAGAGAGGAGGAAAGUAGUGUAAAGCAAGAAAGCAAAGAAGUCUAGCUCUGCACACAGAGGUGGGAUGUGAGGCUGGGAAAGGCAGAGGGCUGUCACUCCUUGUACCAGCCAUGGGUUUUCCCAACACUGGGGUGGGAUACCGUGGGGACAGGUGAGGUGGCUGUGUCUUCUGCUGCUACAGGCAGUGGUGCUGGGAGCCACGAUGCCACUAGAUGUCCCUUGUCACCCGAGUGAGGUAGGCAGCUCGUCCCCAUCUCUGCACUUCAUACAUGUGCAGUGUAGUGUUAUAAAGAAGCCUGCUCUUAAAGUGUUAAAUAUGGAGAAAAGUUGAGUCUGUGUAAUUUAAAAAAUAAGUCUUGUAUCAGCCUGUCAUGGAUAGCAAGGAGAAAGUUACUUCCUAAGCCACUUUAAUUUUUAUUGGAAGAUUGGGAGGAUUUUGUUUUGAAGAGGUAUUUAUGGGGCAGUUCAAUAUUUCCUGGGGGAGAAGUCAUGCUAGGAAGUGCUGGUUUGGUGACCAAACACUGUGGUUUCCCUGCUAACACAGGCUUGUCUGGUGCAAGGUGGGGGUCUGCCUGCACCAGCUGAGCUGCUUGGGGGGAAAAGACCUGUGGGAUUUCCUUGUGUCUUCUUAGUGACUCUGCCAUUUUAGGUAUGCUUAGGUAUGUUGCAAAAGGCAACAGGCAGAUAAAAAAGGUCACUUUUGUGAAGAACUCAGCUCUUCCACCUCACUAAUGCAGCCAUACACCCAAAGGCUCAGCAUGCCCCUGCAGAGGGGGGGAAAGGCUGGUGGAAAAGGUAGCAGCUGCUGGGGGAGGUGGACUGGUGUAGUCAUGUAGAGUGAAGGGCAAGAGUGUCUAAUGGGGUGACAGGGAAACCUCCCAAACCUGCUUACACCUGGCCCCUCAAACCUCUUUCCAUACUUCUCAGCCCCUGUGUCACUCAGCACAUGCAGAGCCACAUGGGACUCACACUGCCCAGACACAUGGCUUGUGUUUGUCCCUCCAACCAGCUGUGCUGGUCCUGCCUUGCCAGUGGUGCUCAUGCCUCUCCACACCAGUUUGACAGCUGGGUUUGAAGAGUGGCCUCCAACAACAGGACAGUGGCAAUCUCUUAGCAGUCCUUCAAGAGUUAAUUCCUCCCUGUGCCCUAGGCAUGUGGCUAUGUUUGCUCCACAGUGGAAGCUGUGUUUCCGUAUGUCCCUAUGGCUGGCACCUCGGCGUGGGCAUCUGUGCCGCUCUGCAUGCCUGUGCCCUUGCGAAGGCUCCUCUGGGCUGCAAUGAGCGGCUCCUGCAGCGCCCUGUGUGCCCUCCGCACACACCGUGGCUGUGUGAGCAGUGGGGAGGGAUGCCCCUAAACUGCCUUGGAAGCAGCUACAGGGCUUUACCUGCCCAGGGAGUGUUAUGGACUUUGCUCCAAUGUAAGAAAUAACUGACUGACUGUCACCUGUUUCUCAGGGCGUGCUGCUACCUGCGUGGCUGCACAAACCAAGCUGUUGAGUAUUCAGAGUCAUAUCUGCCUGCCUGAAUGACAGAAAUUAAACAUUUGCUGCUUUCUACUUCAUUAAAAUCCCUGGGAGCCUGUGGGGCUCAUCCUCCUCAUGCACCAAGGUAUCCAUGUGUGCCACUUACCAGUCAGAGGCUUCUUCACCAGUAAUGUCUGAGCAAAUCUCUUGAUAACAAAGGGACUACACACAGAUUAUUGUGAUCAUAAUUUGGCCAACAUAGUCUUUAUUACUAAUGAUGGUGUUGGAGAUGGAAAACCCAGCUUGAUUCUCAGAUCCCUGCUGAAAGGUAAUAAAAUAAAGAGGAACAAAAUCUGUGUGUGAAUUUGCUACCAAACCUUUGAAAAACACAAAAGUGGAACCCUGCCAAUUCUAUUGCUGUCAAUUUUUCAUUUUGAGGUAGGAUUAGAAGUGAAAGUGUAUUUUUUGUCUCUGACAUUAGUAUCAUGUUGUUGUGUACAAAUGGAGGGCUACAAUUAUUUGUUGUAUUGUAAUUAUUAUGUGCUCCUCUUACACCUACAGAGUGAGUAUUUUUUAAUAUCAUCUGAUAAUAGAGUAAUUAGAAAAUAACUUCAGCUAUCAUAAGAAAGAGGUGUCUAUUUUAUUAACACAAAGAACAGACAAAGGAAGCACUUCAAUGGAAUUGCUCUGUUAAAAAUGGAGCUGUGGGUUUUUUUUUGCUUUGUUGAGGAGAUAGAUGAAGGCAGGCUGGCUUUGUGCAGUCUUUUUUUCAUCCCUGGGCAAUGGCGGAACUCGCAGAUAAAUUCUGUUGUCAGAAAAUUCUAUGAUGGUAGCUGAGAAUGAUAUAAUAUCAUGCAUACUCAUUUCAACAACAAGAAAAAAAUUCCUAACCCAUAGCUUGGAUUUUGAAUACCAGAAAAACCCUUCACUACCAAGAAAUGAGCUUUCGGUACUAAGAAUACAGAAAAAGCAACUAAAAAUUUUUACACAUAAGAAGAGCCACUUGAUAUAACCAGUAGCAAAUAAAAGAAGGAAUAUAAAUGUAAUUUUAAAUUAUUUAUUUCACUCUCUCUCUUUUUUUCAUGUUAAUAUAUCCUUGGCUCUAGUUCAGAAUGAUAUGCUAAUUAUGAAUGUAAGAAAACCUAACUUUUUAUUGUGCUAAUUAAACUGUGUGUCACACAGACAUUUGGGGAGAGUUUCCCAAGCUUUCUAGUGUGAAUGGAAGGAAAGAGCAGCAGUGCUUACUUAAAACUGGAAUUUUUUUCCUAGUACCUUGCAAAAAGGCAUUAUUGUAUUUUGAUUACUCCACGCUUGGUCCACCUCGGAUGUUUCUAUGGAAACAGAAUUUUUUUCCUUGAUGGAAAUGGUUAAGCUCAGGAAAACUCCUCACUGCACAAAACCAUUUGAGCUCCUGCAGAACUACUUGUUGGAAAUUUAAUGUGCAUAAACAGAACUCCCAAAUUACUGCUUAGUGUUAUUGUUGUCAAUGCUGAUACAGAACUGUUUUCUUAAUGAUACACAGUGGUGCCUUUUCACUCCACAAGAAAAUAGGGUAAGAGUGGUAUUAUUUCUGUUGCAAGAGAGCACUUUUCCUGGACAAAAAAUAAUUAGCCUGCAAACCAUCCAAAAUUAAAUUUUAUGAAUUCUGAUGUGUGUAUACUUAGUUCUGGAUCCAAAUAUUUUGGCUUGAUAGCUGUUAAAAUUUAAUUAAUUUUGUUUUGCACAUUGGCAAUAAUUUACUCAUAUUAUUCUUGUGUGCCUCAGUUUUGGAUAUGGAGUUUUGUUGGUUUUUGGAGUUUGUUUUGGUUUUGGUUUUUCCUCCCAAAGAAAACACACUCUCUUACUGGAUGCUACUGUGAUAUUUGGAAUACUUUUUGAAAGUCAACCAACAGAGGGAGCAUUUGUGUGUUAUUAUUAAUUUAACCAAAUGGUCGGAAAUAUGACUCUCAUUUUCCCCAUCAUUUCUGGACAGCAUAUUUAUUGUGUAAAAUUAUAGGAUUUCUUGACCAUUAAAAUAUCUUGGUUUGGAGUGUUUCAGUUUUAAAAAAGUCCAAUCUUGAAUUUAGCUGACAGUGCAAGUAGCUAUUUUAAAUAGAUUGUCAGGUUUAUAUUUUUUUGUUUCAUCUCUGUUCAUCAUGGCAAGGAAUCUGCCAAAUGGAAAAAGAAAAUCACUUUGAAAGCAACCACACUUUUCAAACUUCUUCCAGAGACAUACUGAAAACAGAAAUUAAAUGUCAACCAGAGAAAGCAGAAGCCUCAGUAUUUCUUGGUACCUCUUUUAUGUGUUCACUCUUAGAAUGUGAAUAAUAAGGAUGAUGGUGAUGUGCGCAGCAUUGGAAUGUGGAUGAUGAUGAUAAUAAAAACAACAAUUAUACAAAUGUUUUGCACCUGUAUUCUCACAAAAUCCUUC